CAAUUAUAAUAAUAAUUUUUUGUUUCAAUAAUUUUCAGCUAUUCUGCCCAUAAGUUCAAGUGGCGAUGGCACUCCAUGUUAAAGACAGUUUCCCUUCACGAUUAUUCUGUAAGAAAGUCGAUGAUCUCAUCACAGCCAUGAUGUCUCGGACUCCAGGAGGAGCCUUACGUCACAAUUCUGUGCACAAGAAGUCUAUCGCAGAUUUCUUAUCAUAAUUGAAACAAGGGGAAGCCCUGUGCAAUGUCAGUAGGCCAGUAUUGGAGUGUUUAUCAGCACCGACAUUGUUGGGAUUGAAAGUUACUCUUCAGGCGACCCUUGAGCGACUAUUUUCAUGAGACUCAUGGCUAUCAAUAUCUUAUGACUUGUCGUGUCAAUCAAGAUGUACUCGAGGUUCUUUGGUCUCGUUCGAGCAGCAUGUGGAUGCAACGAUCACCCUGAAGCAAGACAGUUCGCACAAAGUUAUCGCUUAAUGAGU
Diachasma alloeum is the source of this 475-nucleotide long non-coding RNA. RefSeq lists it as uncharacterized. The record is from RefSeq and is a predicted model, not a curated record. NCBI's taxonomy places the organism in Eukaryota, Metazoa, Arthropoda, Insecta, Hymenoptera, Braconidae. The transcript is spliced from 3 exons.